Molecule: ribosomal RNA, 400 nt
Filed under: uncultured bacterium
Lineage: Bacteria
Description: bacterial SSU rRNA
Rfam family: Bacterial small subunit ribosomal RNA
Source: RNAcentral
UGGGGAAUAUUGGACAAUGGGCGAAAGCCUGAUCCAGCGACGCCGCGUGAGUGAUGAAGGCCUUCGGGUUGUAAAGCUCUGUUGAGGGAGAAGAAAACAGUUGGAGCGAAUAGGUCCAGCUCUUGACGGUAUCCCUUUAGAAAGCACCGGCUAACUCUGUGCCAGCAGCCGCGGUAAGACAGAGGGUGCAAACGUUGCUCGGAAUUACUGGGCGUAAAGCGCGUGUAGGCGGACCUGCAAGUUGGACGUGAAAGCCCUGGGCUCAACCCAGGAAUUGCAUCCAAAACUGCAGGUCUGGAGUGAUGGAGAGGAAAGCAGAAUUCCUGGUGUAGAGGUGAAAUUCGUAGAUAUCAGGAGGAACACCGGUGGCGAAGGCGGCUUUCUGGACAUCAACUGACGC